This 153-nucleotide ribosomal RNA is filed under the name Amanita roseolamellata. RNAcentral's name for it is "partial 28S ribosomal RNA". It matches the Rfam family "Eukaryotic large subunit ribosomal RNA", at positions 1 to 142 of the family's 3401-position model. The record is from RNAcentral. Lineage: Eukaryota; Fungi; Basidiomycota; Agaricomycetes; Agaricales; Amanitaceae.
UUGACCAAAUUGACCUCAAAUCAGGUAGGAUUACCCGCUGAACUUAAGCAUAUCAAUAAGCGGAGGAAAAGAAACUAACAAGGAUUCCCCUAGUAACUGCGAGUGAAGCGGGAAAAGCUCAAAUUUAAAAUCUGGCAGUCUUUGGCUGUCCGA